RNAcentral lists this ribosomal RNA (435 nucleotides) under uncultured Lachnospiraceae bacterium. RNAcentral describes it as "partial 16S ribosomal RNA". It matches the Rfam family "Bacterial small subunit ribosomal RNA", at positions 341 to 792 of the family's 1533-position model. The record is from RNAcentral. Lineage: Bacteria; Bacillati; Bacillota; Clostridia; Lachnospirales; Lachnospiraceae.
ACGGGAGGCAGCAGUGGGGAAUAUUGCACAAUGGGGGAAACCCUGAUGCAGCGACGCCGCGUGAGUGAUGAAGUAUUUCGGUAUGUAAAGCUCUAUCAGCAGGGAAGAUAAUGACGGUACCUGACUAAGAAGCACCGGCUAAAUACGUGCCAGCAGCCGCGGUAAUACGUAUGGUGCAAGCGUUAUCCGGAUUUACUGGGUGUAAAGGGAGCGUAGGUGGUUUGGCAAGCCAGAAGUGAAAACCCGGGGCUCAACUCCGUGGAUUGCUUUUGGAACUGUUGAACUAGAGUGCAGGAGGGGUGAGUGGAAUUCCCAGUGUAGCGGUGAAGUGCGUAGAUAUUGGGAGGAACACCAGUGGCGAAGGCGGCUCACUGGACUGUAACUGACACUGAGGCUCGAAAGCGUGGGGAGCAAACAGGAUUAGAUACCCUGGUA